RNAcentral lists this ribosomal RNA (303 nucleotides) under Onthophagus hinnulus. RNAcentral's name for it is "eukaryotic LSU rRNA". It matches the Rfam family "Eukaryotic large subunit ribosomal RNA", at positions 671 to 940 of the family's 3401-position model. The record is from RNAcentral. Lineage: Eukaryota; Metazoa; Arthropoda; Insecta; Coleoptera; Scarabaeidae.
GAGUCUAGCAUGUGCGCGAGUCAUUGGGACUCUGAUAAACCUAAAGGCGCAAUGAAAGUGAAGGUCCGCCUUGCGCGGACCGAGGGAGGAUGGGUCCGUUUUCGAACGGUCCCCGCACUCCCGGGGCGUCUCGUUCUCAUCGCGAGAUGAGGCGCACCCAGAGCGUACACGCUGGGACCCGAAAGAUGGUGAACUAUGCCUGGUCAGGACGAAGUCAGGGGAAACCCUGAUGGAGGUCCGUAGCGAUUCUGACGUGCAAAUCGAUCGUCGGAACUGGGUAUAGGGGCGAAAGACUAAUCGAAC